Molecule: ribosomal RNA, 497 nt
Filed under: uncultured bacterium
Lineage: Bacteria
Description: partial 16S ribosomal RNA
Rfam family: Bacterial small subunit ribosomal RNA
Source: RNAcentral
GACGAACGCUGGCGGCGUGCCUAAUACAUGCAAGUUGAGCGCUGAAGGUUGGUACUUGUACCAACUGGAUGAGCAGCGAACGGGUGAGUAACGCGUGGAGAAUCUGCCUUUGAGCGGGGGACAACAUUUGGAAACGAAUGCUAAUACCGCAUAAAAACUUUAAACACAAGUUUUAAGUUUGAAAGAUGCAAUUGCAUCACUCAAAGAUGAUCCCGCGUUGUAUUAGCUAGUUGGUGAGGUAAAAGCUAACCAAGGCGAUGAUACAUAGCCGACCUGAGAGGGUGAUCGGCCACAUUGGGACCUAGACACGGCCCAAACUCCUACGAGAGGCAGCAGUAGGGAAUCUUCGGCAAUGGACGAAAGUCUGACCGAGCAACGCCGCGUGAGUGAAGAAGGUUUUCGGAUCGUAAAACUCUGUUGGUAGAGAAGAACGUUGGUGAGAGUGGAAAGCUCAUCAAGUGACGGUAACUACCCAGAAAGGGACGGCUAACUACGUG